Etheostoma cragini (Arkansas darter) is the source of this 1203-nucleotide RNA transcript. It is a transcript of the gene named COPI coat complex subunit zeta 2, with no coding region annotated. The record is from RefSeq and is a predicted model, not a curated record. Lineage: Eukaryota; Metazoa; Chordata; Actinopteri; Perciformes; Percidae. The transcript is spliced from 10 exons.
AGUCAGCUUCCAGAGAGGGGGUUUAUCCGGUUGGCUGCUGCGGGAGCGGGCUCGCGCCCGGGCGGCUCCGUAAUAGAAAAAAAAAAGGAAAAAAACGGUGUGACAGCUCAGAGCUGUCCACGUCAACACACCGAGCGAGCUGCGAGCGAGUACGGCGGCGGCAGCAGCGAUGGACUCUCUGGAACCUUCCCUCUAUACAGUGAAAGCUGUUUUCAUUCUUGACAACGAUGGCAACAGACUUCUGUCAAAGUACUAUGACCCAGAGCUUUACCCCUCCAUGAAGGAACAGAAGAACUUUGAGAUGAACGUUUUCAACAAGACACACAAAGCAGACAAUGAGAUAGCUUUCCUGGAGGGGAUGACCAUCGUCUAUAAGUGCAGUAUAGAUCUCUUCUUCUAUGUGGUGGGAAGUGCUCAGGAGAACGAGCUGAUGCUGAUGUCAGUACUGAACUGCCUGUUUGAGUCCCUCAGUCAGAUCCUCAGGAAAAAUGUAGAGCGGAGGUGUUUACUGGACAACAUGGAAGGAGUGUUUCUGGUUGUGGAUGAAAUCAUCGAUGGAGGGGUGAUUCUGGAGAGUGACCCCCAGCAGGUCCUACAGAAGGUCAACUACAGGCUAAUGUCAGAGCCAGCCUAUGGCUUUGUCCUGUUUGAUUACAUCACCGGUAACGUAGAGGGAGAAACAGUCAAGAGCCAGCUGCUGUAAGCAGACAGACAGACAGAGGGCGGAUGAAAACCCAUUAUCUGAACAAAGCGUGGCCCAGGUCCUGCAGUCGGCCAAAGAGCAGAUCAAAUGGUCCAUUCUGAAAUGACUCGGACCAGACACGGUCAGGAUUCUCAUGAAAGAUAUAAGAGAAGAUAUUUAUUCCCAAAGCUAUUUUUUAUUAUAAUAACAGACUAAAGGGAGGGCUCUUACAAGGCUGUCGGCCAAUAGGCUGCUUUAUAGCAGUUAACCAGCCAGUAGUGGAAUUGUUAUGGCAUUUUGUUACAUUGUGUGUGUCAUUUUAUUUAUUUGGUUCGAAAAUGAUGUUAGACAUAUGACAUCAGGAAAUAAAAAAGAAGACUCAGGUCUCAACAUCCAGCUGUGCUUCUAUAAAGGACAGUUGUUACGCCAAAGUAAUCGAUUACAGAUACUGGAAGCCUGAUUCAUGCUCUUAUUUUGGUGAAGCAGGAUCUUUCACUUUAGCAGAAUUUUACUUGUUUUUG